This is a long non-coding RNA of Astatotilapia calliptera (eastern happy), 7061 nucleotides long. Lineage: Eukaryota; Metazoa; Chordata; Actinopteri; Cichliformes; Cichlidae. The record is from Ensembl.
AAUUAUCUAGGUUCCUGACUGCAAUUUAGAAAUGCGCUGAAUUACUUCUUAAUUUUGGCUGUGUUCAGUUUCUCGGGCUUCGUCUCAGACCGUGUGACCUAUAUCUGCUCUUCGGGCAUAUUUUCAUUGCAUACUUUUGAUCUCUGUUGGAUACUACAUUUUUUUAAACUCCCACUUUAAGGUGUUGGCAUAGACGCUGCCAGCUAUGCAUACACAAGAAAUUAAUGAAAGUGUUGUUAUUUAAUUUGUUUUAACUGUUUGGGGAAAUAUGGAUCUUUAUGAGUAAAAAGCAGUUUUUAGUUGUCCUGCCAUGAAAGUAUUUAACGUGCACGUAAUCUGUUAAGCCUGAACUGUAAAUAUACAUUAGACACUGGAUGUAGCGCCGCUAGGUUAGAGAUGGUAUCCUACUCCUGUAGUGCGGUAUGCUGCUGUGUACAGAUGUGUAGUGCGGGGAGUGUCAUGAUGAUGAAAGACUGUUUCCACUUAAACUCUAUGCUCUCUGUCCUAAGGCCACCGGGUUCGAAAGAGGUGGGGUAAGGAGCUCUUUGGGCCAGAAUGAAGAAGGGGCCCUUGGUACGGGGCAGCUUUUGCAAGAGCGCAAGCAUUCAGUUACAGUAGAUACAACGUGAAUCGACUGUUGGGUUUUUCACUGUGCCUAAUUAUCCUUGCUUACUUUUUUCUCCCCCUCGCCCUUCUUCUAGAAAAGCGUAUUCACACUUCUUUCUGUGCUCGGUGGUUUGUUGUUGCCAUGUGGUAGUGCAUUACAUUAUACAGCAGGAGGCAUAAAGGAGCUCUCCCUGACUGACCCCCCACCCAGCACACACGGCCCACCAUCGCUGUGGAAUCUGUGCAGGUUUUUUGUCUUCUUUGGAAAUUUCUAUAAAUAGUCCCGGUUGACUCUUGUCGUGUUAGUGUGCGAAGACAAGGUGGAAGUAAAACUGAGCAUAAAUGAAGGGACCCUUUGCCGCACUGAAGCGCACGUGAUGCCUUUCAGACAUCGUGACAUGUGAUGUCCGCGAGCAAGGAGAGAUGCCUUAAAAGUGAAUUUUCGAUUCAAAAAAACGAAGAAGAAGAAAGAAAAGAAUGAGGCUCUAAUGAUACAGAGAGAAAUACAGCAAAAUGUAAAUGAGAGCUGAAGAAGUGAGAACUGUCUGCCUGAUUUAUUAUUUUUAAAUUGACUUCAAAAUAAAAGAAUGACCUAUUUAAACCAGCAGGGGGAAAGGGUUGGGGGGCGAUAGUGUUGAGACCACACAGGCCAUUUUUCUGCUGUCACUGAUCUCAGCCUAUUGUGCGCUGUCCGUCAGAAGAACCCUGGUAAUUCCCUCUGCUCCCCAUUUGUCUCGCUUUCCUACCAUCUUGUCUCGUGUCUUCCCCCCCUCUUUUUUUUACAAGCCUUUUCCACUGCUUUACAGUGACUAAUACUGAUAAAAUAUAAGACCACCACACACACCACAAUGCUUCCAGUUACAUUUCCUUUGAAGCUCCCUGAACUGGUGCGUUCACUCUCUCUUGCUCCCUCCUUUUCUCUUGUUCCCACCCUCCUUUUCUCCAUGAAACGCACGCUGUAAUACCCAGUCACUCACAGACACAGAGGGCGAGAGACACAGGAACAGAAUACUGGACAUGCUACUGGAGCAGGAUUUUUCUUUUUGUUUGCCUUAAAUGAAAAAGGAGCUUGAAAGAGACAUUGCUGACCGGCACAGGCGUACAGAGAAGACUGCGGCAGCCUCCGCCACCUCGGUCAGCUGGAGCUUGCUACACUCGCUGCUGCACACCGCCGCCAUCUUGUUACUGCCUGUGCUACUGGUCUGCCUGCCUUUGCUGCACUCAAACCAAAUCAUCAAACUCAGCCUGCGGUUGUUUCCAUGCCACUCCUGUUUGUGCGCAGCUUUGUCACAACGCAGUGCUGCGCACCAGCUACCGGACGUUGCUGCACAGAAGCACCUGGAACUUUUAUCUGGGUGUUUCUUUAAUAGCUGCCACAGAUUGGAUGCUGCAGACGGUGUUGUCAGCAUCUCUCAAACCAUCAGUAAGAUCUGUACCAUUGUAACACACACUAUGCCCGAUGUAGAUUUAGCUAAGGACUUGACAUGCCGUACACCAUUAAAACAAGUAAAAAUAAGUGAAAUGUUAUUUUACAAAUUUACAAAUGAUUCAAAGUGGCAUGUCUUCUUCGCAGGAUUUAAGAAAAUUGCUCCCGUCGAAGAAAAUCAAUAACCACAAUCUGUCCCUUAUUCUGUGUAUAUAUUUCUCUCCAGAGCCCAUAUGCCUGAGCACAUAUACUGUAUAUGCUAUCUUUGUGAGCUUGUGUGCUGUAAAGAGAGGGUGGGAAAGAGAAAGGAGGGGAGUGAGAGAGAAAGAGAGGAAUCAAGCGUCGGUAAGAAAGUCUUCCUAAUUCUGUUUGGCAGAAACUGUGCUGUUUAACCAUAUGUGCAGAGAGCAGGCUUUGCACAUGCUCAGAAUGACUCAGAGGACACGACUUUCACAUGUCUCAACGCAAUUAGAUUAACUAAUAGAUAAUUUUCCAGCAAAUAUAAAUAAGUUACAGUGAAGUCAUAAAUAAUUUAAAAAGUGUGCACUCUACCUUGAAUUAUUUUUGUUGUACUCACAGUAUGAGGUUAAAACAUGGGCAUUAGAAGGAGAGCGGGAUACAAACACAGCAAGUAUAUUCCAGCUUAUGGAAAUCUUAUUCCUGCAUUUAACUGUGCUUUGGUGCAAAACAAGUGGAAGUGUGUAGGUGGAGGCCACAGUGAUACAGCAGUGAGUUCAGAAGGUCUUCAAUCCUCUAAGACUAUAUGCCAAGAAGACACCAUGCUAAUGAAAUCAUAAAGACGGUGAAGAAAACAAGCUGUCCCUGGAGAAUACAUCCAUGCAUCGGAGGUUGCCAGUUUUACUUUACUUGCUUCUGGGUAUGCAUGUACUGUAGCUUUGCAGUGAUACUGUAUUUAUAAGGUCAAAGGCUGCUUUGCUUCAGGGUUAAAAUGCUCUCAGCCUUUAUCUUAUGAUUACCUUCAUCAGGUCAGUGAAGAUCACCCUUUGCCCCACCAGCUGAGUGGGACAGCGGGUUACAAGAGGUAUGCAAAUCACAGUAAUAUUUAUUAUGUAUAACAAGGAAGAAAAUGUAAAAAAGAAGAAGAGUUUAAAUCACUGCUGAUAUUCCUAUGAAAUACAGGGUACAAUUAGAAUGAGAUAGAAAUGAUCAAGAUGCAAUUAACGUUCAUACUUUAAAUAUUGGACAGAAAUAUGACGUUGAAUAAUUUUGGCCACUUUUAUACACAGUCCGCCAUCUUUAGGUGCUUAAAUGCAGUCGAACGAACGCUCGUUAUAAGUUGGGGGCGGUUACAGUUACAGAACCAGCAGUUCUGGCCUAUUCAGAGAGCUCAGGUGGUGGAGCAGGUGGUGGAGCAGGUUUGGGCAGGACACUGAACCCCUAGUUGCUCUCGAUGGCAGAUGAGCUGUCUGAACACGUGUGGCCUAUAAAUGCCGAUCGUCUAAAAUUUGUACUUUUAAUACUUUGUCAGGAAUCAUUUGCGGGCAGUCUGAUUUCUGAAACCUUCGGAUAUUAAUGCUUCUGCGUUUCUGCAGUUGUUUGUUUACGCGUCUUGUUAUCAGGGAGUGAAAUUCAUACUCAGUCAGACUGAGAUUGGCCGAGAAAGUUAAAUUGUCUGCAUCAUGGUUGACUAUAAUCAAUGCUGACAUUGCUUGUUGUCCUCAUUGUGUAAGGACGGAAUCAUUAGAAACACCAAGUAACAGCGUAUUACGUAGAGAGCAAAGAAUUCGUAGUUUAUCGAGCUACCAGGUCUCACGCAGAGUUAACUUUGAAUUGAUGAUUAAAAGCAAACAAUAGUCAACUGAUAGUUUUCAUGAAUGUUAUUAAUCUAGUUUAAAAUUUCAAAUUCAGUUGGAGUUUCAGAGACUUCAGAGCAGAUCGCUGAAACAAUACCGAAGCAAUAUUGCUGCAUUUUAAAUCCGUCCGUCCAAGUCAUCUUUAGGCAAAAUGCAGGAUAUACUGUGGACUCAUUACCAGUCUAUCACGUGGCUAAUACAGAACACUUGCAGUCCAUCAGCUAAGAAUGGCUGCAUGAUUAAAUCCCAUUUAGAGGAAUUAUUCACUGUCAAAAAGUCCAAUUUAUGCAGAAAGCACAUAAGAGCAAAUAUGAAUUUCUUACUGGAAGGUAAGCUCCAUACUGGAACAUCACAAUACAAGUUCAGAGAGCCUGUCCAAUGAAAUAAUUCAUUAUAAUCCAAAGUGAGCCUUCAUCAGCCUGGGAGUUGUCCUGCUAUGUUUUUAUGAUCCAGUUAACAGAAAUAAAGCCCUCAACUCUCCGGCUUGAGUAAUGACGUAAGCAGUUAACGAUUGGAAGAAUUUCUUUUUGGACAAGAGCGGAGGACGUUGAUCAUUCAGGGUCAACAAUGAGCGCCUCAUUUGUUCUUUUUUUCCCCAUUUGUAGUAUAAAUAGAAGCAGUUCAGCCUUCAGUGGAGAGUUUGUGGAGCAUACUUACUGAGUGUCGAAUGCAAAGAUGUUGCAUUCUUUAUUAUUCCAUAUCAACUGUCCUGGAAUCCGUUACACCAUUUCCCAGAAUUGCAGUCCAAAAAGUAUGUAAAUCCCAGCUGGGAAUGGGUGUAGAAUCCCAAGGUUUGUGCACGUGACAUGAACUAUUCAUUCUUCUUCUUUUUCUGUCAAAGCAUGACUUCUUAAAAAGAGUUACAGGUGUAUCUGGGCCCACCUUCUUGUUACAUAUAUAUAAUGCACAGCUGUCAAAAGUAAAUAAAGUAGAAAUCACAAACGUCCUUUGUUAGGUGUUCACAUUUAAUUGCUCCUUCAGAAAUAAAUGCAAAAUCUUUGGAAAACAGGAUAAUCUGCUAACAAGUGCCAUUUCCUUACCCAGAGGACCCAUACUUGAGACUUUGUUUCUCCCAGAAUACAAUGUUUCCUCAUUUUCAGUGAGGAACCAACCAAAAACCAAAAGGUUUUGACAUUCAUUGUUCUCCCAGAAGAUGCAUCUGCAGGCAAUCCCUAACUUUCUCCUCUAGUGCUACCAGCACAAUGAUGUACAGGUGUAUGUGGUUUUAAAAUUCAUAAGUCACCAAAUACUGGAUGGAUUUCCAUUAAAGUUUGUGCCGAUAUUCAUAUCCUUCAGUGUACCUGUCUGCAUUUUUUUAAAAAGUGUCCUGUGUUCCAGUAUUUUGGCUUGCGAUUAAACAACUGCAAAGCUAGUGAUUUGCUGCAUUACUUACAUAUUGCAGUCAUGAAUAAGAGAAGAGACUAGUCUUUCCUGGUAGACUGCAGUGAAUUAUCUUCACAGCAGCAGAGUAGACAUAGAUUGCAUGACAUGGUGCAGUUUGCACAUGGAAUGCAGAAAGAUUUCAGGCACUGAGUGAUGAAGGCCAGAUGUUUGAGUUAUGCAUAGGAAGUCAGUGGCCUACAGUUGGUACUGUAUGAAGCGAUGAUGCCAGAAACCAUCGCCGGCAUAUACCAUGUAAUUAAAUUUAAGGAAGCCCACUCACAUAUUACAGCUUGUAUAUAAAAGCAAUACAUGUUCCAGGUUUGAAAAAAACAGACAUCAAAAAACAUUACAUAAACACAAGUGCCUAAAUAAAAAUAGAAACGGUAUAUGAGUAAGAGGUGUUGCUUAUGAUUCACCUGGUUACAGUUUGCAUAGCAACUAAUUCUAGUUUUUUUAUAUAUAUAUAUAUAUAUAAAGUUUUGCUCAAAAAUAAAAAAUAAAGAAAAGCUUAAGAGUCUGAGAGGUUGUUGUGAAUGUUGUGGAUUUAAUGAUUGGUCAAAAAUAAAUAAAACAUAAAUAUAAGCGAGGUCAUUAUAUCGAUAUCUUCAAUUUUGUCCUUCAUUUGUAGAUGUUACGGAAAUUAAUCUUUUUAAACUUGGAGAAAAGAAACAAGUUCAAAAGAGGACUUGUUUACCAGAAAAUAUUCCUUGCACAUUGAUUUGCAGCACGCAGUGUGGUUACAUUAUUAAACUAUAGACACCCAGCAAUGGUAAAUAUAUACUGAAACUUACCUCCUCCUCCUAUAGACGGUUUUCUCUUGUUCUUUCUCCCUCCUUUUUGUCUCGUCUUGCACACAGUUACACAUGCACACUCCCAGCCUGUCUGCGUCUCACACUCAAACACGCACACACACACACACGCACACACACGCACCGUCUUUUGUUUGGAGUCAGACGGCAUUGAAGGCAGAUCCUGUGGCCCUUCUGAGGAGAAUGUUAAUAUGCCCGCUCUGGUCUCUCUGGGGACGCAGAGAAUGGACUCGGGCUGCUAAUGCACUGUCACACUAACCCCGCUAAGUAUUCUCACAGUUAGCAACAGCAGCGCUGCUCCCAGAACUGAAAUGUAUUUAACUAAACUCGCAACCUACUGAAUCGUAAAGACUUACUUUAGAUUGUCCUUUCACAAAUAACUGCCUCAUUUGCCCACCUUUCUGUGCCUGCAAACAGAGAUAUGGCAGGUGGGCUAUUUGUUGAGUGCAGUUAGACUUAUUUCACUUUCAUUAGCACUUUAUUUAUGUGGACUCAUUAGGGGCAGUUUGCUCCCCCACACUGAGGUAGGCUUAAUGGAUUAUACUAACGACCUACACAAGCACACGGUAUUCAGUUACAUGUAGAGUUUAAACAAGUCAAAUUAUCUUUAAAGAGUUUGGGCUCGGUAUCGUUUUUGCUAACUUUGGCUAAAGGAUGUAUUUUUGCUUGUGGUUCAGUGAAAUCCUGCUAUUCGAACUGUGGUCACCUGAGUGGAAGGAAAAUGUUCCCCACUUACCAAACUGGUGUGAGGAGUAACUAUGUUUUCAUUUAUGUCAUGAAUAAAAUAAAACUAUUUUUGCUAUUUAAGAGCAUUAAAAAUGAAAAAUAAAUUAAUAACAUUUACUUCAUGUUGUAUAUUGGCUGUGGUCAUUGUGUCCAUGUGCUGAGCCUGUGGAUCACAGUUGCAUGCAGUAAUAGUCAAAGGAUAUUUAAGGUAUUACUAUAUAAACUAUGUAUUAUCAUGGAUUAAAUAUAUUAUAUAAGACAUUUUAUUUUGUGAGCAGUGUUUUCCUUUGAUAAUGC